Molecule: long non-coding RNA, 199 nt
Filed under: Nicotiana benthamiana
Lineage: Eukaryota; Viridiplantae; Streptophyta; Magnoliopsida; Solanales; Solanaceae
Description: long non-coding RNA (NBEN_LNC007657)
Source: RNAcentral
UUGGAGAAUGCCUUGACGUACUCCUUGAUCGAAUGGCCCUGCUUGAGGUCCCUCAUUUUCGCCCUUGCCUCGCGGCUUACGUGCACCGGGUAGAACUCCGCCUUGAGUUCUUUCUUUAGGGCAUCCCAACUGUCAAUGACGACUACCCCUUUGUCUAUGCCGGCUCGUUUUCUUCGCCACCAAAGUGCAGCCAUGUCGG